This 429-nucleotide ribosomal RNA is filed under the name uncultured Halieaceae bacterium. Its description in RNAcentral is "bacterial SSU rRNA". It matches the Rfam family "Bacterial small subunit ribosomal RNA", at positions 355 to 776 of the family's 1533-position model. Lineage: Bacteria; Pseudomonadati; Pseudomonadota; Gammaproteobacteria; Cellvibrionales; Halieaceae. The record is from RNAcentral.
UGGGGAAUAUUGCGCAAUGGGCGAAAGCCUGACGCAGCCAUGCCGCGUGUGUGAAGAAGGCCUUCGGGUUGUAAAGCACUUUCAAUUGGGAGGAAAGGUUCACGGCUAAUACCCGUGAGUUGUGACGUUACCUUUAGAAGAAGCACCGGCUAACUCCGUGCCAGCAGCCGCGGUAAUACGGAGGGUGCGAGCGUUAAUCGGAAUUACUGGGCGUAAAGCGCGCGUAGGUGGUCUGUUAAGUCGGAUGUGAAAGCCCCGGGCUCAACCUGGGAACUGCAUCCGAUACUGGCAGACUAGAGUGCGGGAGAGGGAGGUAGAAUUCCACGUGUAGCGGUGAAAUGCGUAGAUAUGUGGAGGAAUACCAGUGGCGAAGGCGGCCUCCUGGCUCGACACUGACACUGAGGUGCGAAAGCGUGGGGAGCAAACAGG